UGAAUUCAUCUUGUGUGCCAUUUAAAUUAGCGUAUUCAAAAUUGUGCCAAUAUUAGAUUACCAUGCUCUCUUCUGCUCGCUUGAUUUUGGCACUUUUGCCUCUCCAUUUGGUAGACUAAAUUUCUCACCGGAAAUAUAGAUGUUUAUUUAUCGUGCAUUUUUUUCUGUGUUGCUUGAUUCCUUAUAAGUAAAAUUACUGGUUCUGUUUAGAUGUAAGAAUAAUAAUGUCUUUAGGGUAAAGACUGAAUUCAGGGUGAGGGCUUUCUCAAUAUGAGAUCAUUCUCCUAUUUUUUUAAAAUUUUAUUUCCUAUCUUAUUUUUUUUAUCAGGCAAGCAUCAAGGAUAGAAGAAAACAAUGAAGGUAUUUCUGGGACAUUGUUGCAGAUUCAAGGAGUGGAGUUAUGAAAGAGUACAAGGAAACCCUAUAAUGAAGUUAGGGAAGGUUUGCAAGAAUUUGCCCCUGCAUGGUAAUAUUGACAUUGAAUUAUGUUUUGCACUUGAUCAAGCAAGAGACACAAGAGAUGUUGCUCCAGGAUUCAUCAAAGGUGAGCAAUUCGUGUGGCUUUAUUAUCUGACAUGAUUGCUCCAGAAUCAUUUUAAUUAGGGACUGUGGAGGCGCGGAGGAGAUAGUUGGGAUCAAAUUGCUCCGCGGACAUGUGGAAGGGUCUCGCUAGCGACAUACAUGUGCGGCGAGCGAAAUUAAGGUCCAAGGCAGCCCGCCUGCCCAUGGUCAUGCUAGCGAGAGAGAUCUAAAUUGUGGCCAAACUGCAUUCCACUCUCUAUUAAAAGGCCCUGAGGAAGUGGGUGCUUUCUGCUUACCGAUGAAUCUCAAGGCAUGGUAAUAAUGUUUGCCUCUUAAGGUAUGCGUCCAACUUAUUCUCACUCAGCUUGCUAUCUUGUCCCUGAAAUCUAUUAACUGAAUCAAUCUGGUGUUCAUAUUUUUUAUUGGAAUCAAAUUAAGUGAGUUGGCCUCAUGUGUAUCCCAUUUGAAUGCAAUUUAUCUUCCUUGCCACUUUAGAGGGAGAAACCACAUGCAACAAGGAAAUAAUAGAUCCUGAUGAAGCACUAAUUGGUUGGGCAAGAAUGACAUAUACUGAAAACAAACAAUUCAUAGGUCAAAAUGACGUGUCAAUCGUCAUGAGAUUUCUGGUACAUGUAUCCUCCUAAAGAAAUCAGGAUCAUGACCAUUUGUAUGAAUUCUACUAAUUGAUACAAAUUGCAAAAUCCUAAUAUUUGUAGUGGCUCAUUUCCUGCUCCUACAUUCAAGGCUGUUGUCUUUCCUUUUUUUUUCUUGACAAAAACUCUCCUUUAAGGACAGGAAGCCUGCAGUAAGGUUUUCCAAUUUUCUUUUCAUGAGGCAUUUGUUGCUGCUGACCUUCUCACUAAAGUGGUCAAAAGAAUUAUGGCUAGCUAGGUACAAACACAACAAUUAAAGUAAUGUUGUUAAGAGCUGAGUGAUAUGAGGAUUAAGCAUCAUCAGUCACAUGACCUCUAUUUGGAACUGAAUGAUUGACCAUCAGUUCUAAAGAUUAUUGUUGCAGGUGUGCAUUGCUUACUGAUUGUUAUGUUUCCAGAAAUCAAAAUUAGUUAUGACUGAAUUCCUAGCUUCAUGAUGCAUCCUUUCCGAGCUUUGGUAGAUUUUUAUGCCAUAAACUCUUGCACAAUGGUUCACACAUUAGGAACUGAGCAGCUGCUGAUCUACAUUCCAUUCAUCAAGAAGCUCUUGCAAGGGAAGAUUUUCACCCCCCAUUUGAUCAAUUCAGUGCAAACUAUUAUUUGAAAAAUCAUAUUUGCAGAACAUGCUAACUAUUUGAAGGUCAUUGUUCACAUCCUAAUGAACCAGACCACCUGUGCAACUUGGAGUUGUUUCAACUUGGAGUUGCAGACUUGCAGUCAUUAAAAGUGAAGGAGAAGCAUAUGAUAAUUCUGAACUUUCCACCUGUGCUCCUAACAUUAAUUUGAAACCUCACUUCUACGAUGACAUUGUGUGUCUGGUUAACAGCCUAAUGUAUGUCGAGAACCUGUUGUUGUCCAAGUAUUUAAGUUCAUUUUCUUUGAUUUAUAUUGACAACUCAAAAUAUAUUGUACGCAUAACUUCUUUUACAUUCUGAUUGGUCUGUAAUUUCUUUUCAUGUGGGACCCUCAUAUGUCAGUAUCAAAAUUAAUGUGUAUUUAACAGUUGAGAGGUGGCAGGUGUCUCAUGCCAUUGAGGAAGAGGAGGGUAUGAUGGAGGAUGUCGUUGGAGACAGCAAGGAUGAAGUCUCGGUGGCGAGACAGGAUUAGUUUGUUUGUUUUUUACUUGCAGAAUAGAAGUUUGUUUGUUUUUUCUUUAUUGCAGUAUACUAACACCCUUGCAGAGUUGCAGGUGCUUUGCAGUUGCAGGUUAGUAUGUGGUACAAAGCACUGCUGGUUACUACUAACCUUGUGAGGCUUGUCACCUAUCAGGUUGCAAUCUUCAUAAACAUUGUUGGCUGAAAUUCCCUUCUACUGUUUGUCGAAAUGGCUCUUAGGAGAUGUAUGCUUCAUUCUUCUUAUAAUUAUAAGAAUGUUGCAUUACCUAAUCAUUCAAGUAUGAGUUGCUGCAUAUCCUAAUCAUUCAAGUAUGAGAUGCUGCUGAUUGGAGGUGGAAAUAAGAACGAGCUGCAGGAUGCUGUGAGGAUGCGUGAGAUGUUACUGCUGCUGCUUGCCUGCAUCAAUCGGAGAGCAGGAGGAGAAAUGGAGGAAGAUACCACCGCUGUAUUUCAUUUGCUUACAUGAUGUUACUUACAAAGCUGCAGGGCGUUGCUUAAUUUCAUCAUCUAACAUUUAUUCAAUUCAUUGUGAAUCUUGUGUCUAACAAAGUUCAGACUAUAUGUUAGGAAAAAUUAUUACUCUUAUCUCCUUUUUGCUUAUGUUGGAAUGGUAUCUUUUAAAUAAUUAUUGCGCCAUUGCUCCA
Long non-coding RNA from Panicum virgatum (switchgrass), 2934 nucleotides. RefSeq lists it as uncharacterized. NCBI's taxonomy places the organism in Eukaryota, Viridiplantae, Streptophyta, Magnoliopsida, Poales, Poaceae. The record is from RefSeq and is a predicted model, not a curated record. The transcript is spliced from 2 exons.